ACUGGAUGACCUCCUUAGAGUUUGAGCCAGGCUCACGCGGAAUGACCUUUUAAGCCGGUACGCCCUCCGGGGUAGUGAUUUAUGUUAGAAAGAUUGGCCCCCGUUAGAUUAGAUAUUUGUUGUGGUUGGGCCUAACCGGCUCCGAUCCAUUCCCGGUCUUAGAGGAUGAGCCUGCCCCUGGUACUGAUACACGGAAGAACUCCUACUGGAGGCAGCACAGGGGAAUGGGGACAAUGCACCCAGGCCUGAUCCCACCAUGCCGCGUUAGUGAUGAAGGGCUUCCGGGUGUAAAGCUUUUUCACCGAUGAAGAUCCGGACGGUAAUCGAAGUAAAAGCCCCGGCUAACUUCGUGCCCGCAGCCGCGGUAAUACGAAGGGGGCUAUCCUUGUUCGGAAGUACUGUGCAUAAAGCGCACCCACGCGGAUCUUUAAGUCAAGGGUGAAAUCCCGCAGCUCGCCUGCAGAACUGCCAUUGAUACUGGGUAUCUUGAGUAUGGAAUAGGUACGUGGAAUUCCGAGUGUACAGGUGAAAUUCGUAGAUGUUCCUCAGGAACACCAUUGGCGAUGCGGCUUACUGGUCCAUUACUGACCCUGUGGUGCGCUAGCAUGGGGAGCAAACAAGAGUAGAUACCCUGGUAUUCCACGCCGUAAGCGAUAAAUGAGAGUCGUGCUCAGCAUACUGUUCUAUGAUAUCGCUAUCUCCUUAGACAUUCAGUCUGAGGAGUGCGGCGUCAGAUUAUCACUCUAGGGAUUGACGUGUGUCCUCACAAUCGCAGAGCAUGUGGUAUAAUCAAGCAACUCGCGACCUUACCACUCUUGACGUU
RNAcentral lists this ribosomal RNA (823 nucleotides) under uncultured Agrobacterium sp. RNAcentral's name for it is "bacterial SSU rRNA". It matches the Rfam family "Bacterial small subunit ribosomal RNA", at positions 168 to 988 of the family's 1533-position model. Lineage: Bacteria; Pseudomonadati; Pseudomonadota; Alphaproteobacteria; Hyphomicrobiales; Rhizobiaceae. The record is from RNAcentral.